Molecule: ribosomal RNA, 497 nt
Filed under: uncultured bacterium
Lineage: Bacteria
Description: partial 16S ribosomal RNA
Rfam family: Bacterial small subunit ribosomal RNA
Source: RNAcentral
GAUGAACGCUGGCGGCGUGCCUAAUACAUGCAAGUCGAGCGAACAGACGAGGAGCUUGCUCCUCUGACGUUAGCGGCGGACGGGUGAGUAACACGUGGAUAACCUACCUAUAAGACUGGGAUAACUUCGGGAAACCGGAGCUAAUACCGGAUAAUAUAUUGAACCGCAUGGUUCAAUAGUGAAAGACGGUUUUGCUGCCACUUAUAGAUGGAUCCGCGCCGCAUUAGCUAGUUGGUAAGGUAACGGCUUACCAAGGCAACGAUGCGUAGCCGACCUGAGAGGGUGAUCGGCCACACUGGAACUGAGACACGGUCCAGACUCCUACGGGAGGCAGCAGUAGGGAAUCUUCCGCAAUGGGCGAAAGCCUGACGGAGCAACGCCGCGUGAGUGAUGAAGGUCUUCGGAUCGUAAAACUCUGUUACUAGGGAAGAACAAAUGUGUAAGUAACUAUGCACGUCUUGACGGUACCUAAUCAGAAAGCCACGGCUAACUACGUG